UCAAAUCAGGCGGGACUACCCGCUGAACUUAAGCAUAUCAAUAAGCGGAGGAAAAGAAACUAACAAGGAUUCCCCUAGUAACUGCGAGUGAAGCGGGAAAAGCUCAAAUUUAAAAUCUGGCGGUCUUUGGCCGUCCGAGUUGUAGUUUAGAGAAGUGCUUUCCGCGCUGGACCGUGUACAAGUCUCCUGGAACGGAGCGUCAUAGAGGGUGAGAAUCCCGUCUUUGACACGGACUGCCAGUGCUUUGUGAUGCGCUCUCAAAGAGUCGAGUUGUUUGGGAAUGCAGCUCAAAAUGGGUGGUGAAUUCCAUCUAAAGCUAAAUAUUGGCGAGAGACCGAUAGCGAACAAGUACCGUGAGGGAAAGAUGAAAAGCACUUUGGAAAGAGAGUUAAACAGUACGUGAAAUUGUUGAAAGGGAAACGCUUGAAGUCAGUCGCGUCUGUCAAGACUCAGCCUUGCCUUUGGCUKGGUGUAUUUCUUGAUAGACGGGCCAGCAUCACUUUUGAUCGCCGGAAAAGGGUGGGGGAAAGGUGGCACCUUCGGGUGUGUUAUAGUCCCCUGUCGUAUACGGUGGUUGGGAGUGAGGAACUCAGCACGCCUUUAUGGUCGGGGCUUCGGCCUACGUUCGUGCUUAGGAUGCUGGCGUAAUGGCUUUAAACGACCCGUCUUGAAACACGGACCAAGGDGUCUAACAUGCCCGCGAGUGUUUGGGUGGAAAACCCAUGCGCGUAAUGAAAGUGAAAGUUGGGACCUCUGUCGUGGAGGGCACCGACGCCCGGACCAGAACUUCUGUGACGGAUCUGCGGUAGAGCGUGUAUGUUGGGACCCGAAAGAUGGUGAACUAUGCCUGAAUAGGGUGAAGCCAGAGGAAACUCUGGUGGAGGCUCGUAGCGAUUCUGACGUGCAAAUCGAUCGUCAAAUUUGGGUAUAGGGGCGAAAGACUAAUCGAACCAUCUAGUAGCUG
This 964-nucleotide ribosomal RNA is filed under the name Gloeocystidiellum porosellum. Its description in RNAcentral is "eukaryotic LSU rRNA". It matches the Rfam family "Eukaryotic large subunit ribosomal RNA", at positions 1 to 953 of the family's 3401-position model. Lineage: Eukaryota; Fungi; Basidiomycota; Agaricomycetes; Russulales; Gloeocystidiellaceae. The record is from RNAcentral.